AUUGAACGCUGGCGGCAUGCUUUACACGUGCAAGUCGAACGGUAACAGGCCUUCGGGUGCUGACGAGUGGCGCACGGGUGAGUAAUGCAUCGGAACGUGCCCAGAGGUGGGGGAUAACGCAGCGAAAGCUGUGCUAAUACCGCAUGUGAUCUGAGGAUGAAAGCGGGGGACCAAGCAGCAAUGUUUGGCCUCGCGCCUCUGGAGCGGCCGAUGUCAGAUUAGGUAGUUGGUGGGGUAAAGGCCUACCAAGCCGACGAUCUGUAGCUGGUCUGAGAGGACGACCAGCCACACUGGGACUGAGACACGGCCCAGACUCCUACGGGAGGCAGCAGUGGGGAAUUUUGGACAAUGGGCGCAAGCCUGAUCCAGCAAUGCCGCGUGCGGGAAGAAGGCCUUCGGGUUGUAAACCGCUUUUGUACGGAACGAAAAGGCUCUGGCUAAUACCUGGGGCUGAUGACGGUACCGGAAGAAUAAGCACCGGCUAACUACGUG
This 492-nucleotide ribosomal RNA is filed under the name uncultured bacterium. RNAcentral's name for it is "partial 16S ribosomal RNA". It matches the Rfam family "Bacterial small subunit ribosomal RNA", at positions 29 to 507 of the family's 1533-position model. The record is from RNAcentral.